Molecule: ribosomal RNA, 462 nt
Filed under: uncultured bacterium
Lineage: Bacteria
Description: bacterial SSU rRNA
Rfam family: Bacterial small subunit ribosomal RNA
Source: RNAcentral
CCUACGGGAGGCUGCAGUCGAGAAUCUUCGGCAAUGGGCGAAAGCCUGACCGAGCGACGCCGCGUGCGGGAUGAAGGUCUUCGGAUUGUAAACCGCUGUCAGAGGGGAUGAAGUUGUGGUGGGUUCUCCCAUCAUAUUGACAGAGCCUCAGAGGAAGCACGGGCUAAGUAUGUGCCAGCAGCCGCGGUAAUACAUACUGUGCGAACGUUAUUCGGAUUCACUGGGCUUAAAGGGUGCGUAGGUGGCUUGUUAAGUAGGGUGUGAAAGCCCCCAGCUCAACUGGGGAACUGCAUUCUAUACUGGCGAGCUAGAGUGAGAUAGGGGUGUCCGGAACUGCCAGUGGAGCGGUGAAAUGUGUUGAUAUUGGCAGGAACGCCGGUGGCGAAAGCGGGACACUGGGUCUCAACUGACACUGAGGCACGAAAGCCAGGGGAGCGAACGGGAUUAGAUACCCUAGUAGUC